AUGAGUAAAUUACUUGUCAUAGCCCUCCUGCUGCUGCCUCUGAUCAACCACGGAAUCUACUUGGCCACGGCAUGGGAUGAUCAAGAUUUCUUCAAACACUGCCCACCAUCCCAGUGCAGCCAACAUGGCCCAGAGAUCAGGUACCCUUUCUGCCUUGAAUCCAGCAAUACAUCAUCAUCAUCAUGUGGAUGCGGCGAAAGAUCAAUCAGGAAGUUAGCAUGCUCUGGUCAAGACACCAUCCUAGUUCACCAAGUUCUUGGCACAUACAGUGUCAGCGCCAUAGAUUACAGGCGUUCUUCCAUGAAGCUCAUCCCGCUUGUAGAUCCCUGUUUAGUGCUCCAGCAGAAGCUCAUCAUCUCCAGAAGCUCAUCAUCUCCACAGGUUGAUGUUAUCAACAAUGCGGGGCCAAGUCUUGACCGAUAUUUCUUUUGGAGUUCUGCAACCCUAGUACACUGUUCAAGAGAGUUUGCACCUGGUGCUGCCGAUGGGAUUGCUGGCCCAGUCUCCUGCCUUAGCAACACAACCCACUUCUUUUAUUUGGUGGAUGGUUAUAAAGACAUGUCUAUUCUUCCGUUGGACUGCAAGGUCGUCCCAGUCUCAGUUGGUGUCGGUGGCGGUCUGAUACCCAUGUACAUGUUUGACACACACUUCUCACCGUCCUUCAAGGAAAGAGCAGAAAGAAUGCUCAGUUUUGCGGAGACGACAGUGUAUUUGUAUGAUUACUAUUGCGUAGAUUGUGAACGCAGUGGGGGACGCUGCGCAUUCAGCUCACAAAGGGAUAGACCAUUCUGCAUGCCCGGCCCACAUGGUUCACGUAUCAAAGUCAUUGCAGCUACAUCAUCAGUGGCUGCAUUUGUUGUUCUUUUGGUGACGGUGGCCACUGUGCUUUAUCUUUCACUCAAGACAAGAUAUAAUGCGGAGAUACAUUUGAAGGUUGAAAUGUUCCUCAAGACAUAUGGAACAUCAAAACCCACGAGGUACACUUUCUCUGAAGUUAAGAAGAUGGCAAGACGGUUUAAGGAAAAAGUAGGGCAAGGAGGAUUUGGAAGUGUGUACAAAGGCGAGCUACCAAAUGGAGUGCCUAUAGCAGUCAAGAUGCUAGAGAACUCUACAGGAGAGGGAGAAGCAUUCAUCAACGAAGUUGCAACCAUCGGACUAAUCCACCAUGCCAAUAUUGUCCGCCUCCUGGGAUUUUGUUCUGAGGGAAUGAGACGGGCUCUUAUUUACGAAUUCAUGCCUAACGAGUCACUAGAGAAAUACAUAUUCUCUGAUGACGCUAAUAUUUUUCAGCAUCUUCUAGUACCAGACAAGCUGCUAGAUAUUGCUUUAGGCAUCGCCAGAGGAAUGGAGUACUUGCAUCAAGGGUGCAAUCAGCGCAUCCUCCACUUUGACAUCAAGCCUCACAAUAUCCUGCUGGACUACAACUUCAAUCCAAAGAUCUCAGACUUUGGCCUGGCGAAGUUGUGUGCAAGGGACCAAAGCAUCGUGACCUUAACUGCAGCAAGAGGUACAAUGGGGUAUAUUGCACCAGAGCUAUACUCUCGGAACUUUGGGGGAGUUUCGUACAAGUCAGAUGUGUACAGUUUCGGCAUGCUGGUGCUAGAAAUGGUGAGCGGGAGGAGGAAUUCAGACCCAAGAAUCGGCAGCCAGGAUGAUGUUUACCUCCCAGAGUGGAUCUACGAGAAAGUGAUCAAUGGUGAGGAGUUGGCUCUUACCUUGGAAGCAACUCAAGAAGAGAAUGAGAAGGUGAGGAAGCUGGCGAUGGUGGCACUGUGGUGCAUCCAGUGGAACCCGAGAAACCGUCCGUCGAUGACGAAGGUCGUUAACAUGCUAACAGGGAGGUUGCAGAAUCUGCAGAUGCCACCAAAGCCUUUCGUCUCAUCUGAAAAUGAACUUAUGCCAUAA
This 1905-nucleotide ribosomal RNA is filed under the name Triticum aestivum (bread wheat). RNAcentral describes it as "partial small subunit ribosomal RNA". The record is from RNAcentral. Lineage: Eukaryota; Viridiplantae; Streptophyta; Magnoliopsida; Poales; Poaceae.